GUGGGAGCGGGCUUGCCCGCGAAUAGCGGUGUAUCAGUCAACUUAUUUGUGACUGAUACACCCUAAUCGCGGGCAAGCCCGCUCCCAC
RNAcentral lists this non-coding RNA (88 nucleotides) under Pseudomonas tolaasii NCPPB 2192. Lineage: Bacteria; Pseudomonadati; Pseudomonadota; Gammaproteobacteria; Pseudomonadales; Pseudomonadaceae. The record is from RNAcentral.